RNAcentral lists this non-coding RNA (345 nucleotides) under Paenibacillus xerothermodurans. Its description in RNAcentral is "Bacillus xerothermodurans Bacterial small subunit ribosomal RNA". It matches the Rfam family "Bacterial small subunit ribosomal RNA", at positions 1 to 342 of the family's 1533-position model. Lineage: Bacteria; Bacillati; Bacillota; Bacilli; Caryophanales; Paenibacillaceae. The record is from Rfam by way of RNAcentral.
UUAUUGGAGAGUUUGAUCCUGGCUCAGGACGAACGCUGGCGGCGUGCCUAAUACAUGCAAGUCGAGCGRAUCUCACCUUCGGGUGAGAUUAGCGGCGGACGGGUGAGUAACACGUAGGCAACCUGCCUGUAAGACUGGGAUAACUAUCGGAAACGAUAGCUAAGACCGGAUAAUUGSUUUGUUCGCAUGAGCAAAACAUGAAACACGGAGCAAUCUGUGGCUURCAGAUGGGCCUGCGGCGCAUUAGCUAGUUGGUGAGGUAAUGGCUCACCAAGGCGACGAUGCGUAGCCGACCUGAGAGGGUGAUCGGCCACACUGGGACUGAGACACGGCCCAGACUCCUAC